CUUUGAUUCCCCGCUGCCAAGAAAAGCUUCUAGCGAGAUAAAAGGUGCCUGUACCGCAAACCGACACAGGUAGGCGAGGAGAGAAUCCUAAGGUGUGCGAGAGAACUCUGGUUAAGGAACUCGGCAAAAUGACCCCGUAACUUCGGGAGAAGGGGUGCUUUCUUAACGGAAAGCCGCAGUGAAUAGGCCCAAGCGACUGUUUAGCAAAAACACAGGUCUCUGCGAAGCCGUAAGGCGAAGUAUAGGGGCUGACACCUGCCCGGUGCUGGAAGGUUAAGGAGAGGGGUUAGCGUAAGCGAAGCUCUGAACUGAAGCCCCAGUAAACGGCGGCCGUAACUAUAACGGUCCUAAGGUAGCGAAAUUCCUUGUCGGGUAAGUUCCGACCCGCACGAAAGGUGUAACGAUUUGGGCACUGUCUCAACCAGAGACUCGGUGAAAUUAUAGUACCUGUGAAGAUGCAGGUUACCCGCGACAGGACGGAAAGACCCCGUGGAGCUUUACUGUAGCCUGAUAUUGAAUUUUGGUACAGUUUGUACAGGAUAGGCGGGAGCCAUUGAAACCGGAGCGCUAGCUUCGGUGGAGGCGCUGGUGGGAUACCGCCCUGACUGUAUUGAAAUUCUAACCUACGGGUCUUAUCGACCCGGGAGACAGUGUCAGGUGGGCAGUUUGACUGGGGCGGUCGCCUCCUAAAGUGUAACGGAGGCGCCCAAAGGUUCCCUCAGAAUGGUUGGAAAUCAUUCGUAGAGUGCAAAGGCAUAAGGGAGCUUGACUGCGAGACCUACAAGUCGAGCAGGGACGAAAGUCGGGCUUAGUGAUCCGGUGGUUCCGCAUGGAAGGGCCAUCGCUCAACGGAUAAAAGCUACCCCGGGGAUAACAGGCUUAUCUCCCCCAAGAG
Molecule: ribosomal RNA, 895 nt
Filed under: Bacillus cereus
Lineage: Bacteria; Bacillati; Bacillota; Bacilli; Caryophanales; Bacillaceae
Description: partial 23S ribosomal RNA
Rfam family: Bacterial large subunit ribosomal RNA
Source: RNAcentral